GCCCGAGUAGCUCAGCAGGUAGAGCGUCCGGCUGUUAACCGGCAGGUCGGAGGUUCAAGUCCUCCCUCGGGCG
RNAcentral lists this transfer RNA (73 nucleotides) under archaeon. RNAcentral's name for it is "tRNA-Asn". It matches the Rfam family "tRNA". Rfam says of the family: Transfer RNA (tRNA) molecules are approximately 80 nucleotides in length. Their secondary structure includes four short double-helical elements and three loops (D, anti-codon, and T loops). The record is from RNAcentral.